GCUUGUCUCAAAGAUUAAGCCAUGCAUGUCUCAGUAUAAACUUCUAUACGGUGAAACUGCGAAUGGCUCAUUAAAACAGUUAUAAUUUAUUUGAUGGUCGCUUACUACAUGGAUAACUGUGGUAAUUCUAGAGCUAAUACAUGCACAAAAACCCGACUUCGCAGAAGGGUUGUGUUUAUUAGAUCAAAACCAAACGGCUUCGGCCGUCUCAUUGGUGACUCUGAAUAACUUUGGGCUGAUCGUAUGGCCUUGUGCCGACGACGUUUCCUUCGAAGGUGUGCCCUAUCAACUGUCGACUGUGAUAUAGACGCUCACAGUGGUUUUGACGGGUAACGGGGAAUCAGGGUUCGAUUCCGGAGAGGGAGCCUUAAAAACGGCUACCACAUCCAAGGAAGGCAGCAGG
Molecule: ribosomal RNA, 403 nt
Filed under: Crustacea environmental sample
Lineage: Eukaryota; Metazoa; Arthropoda
Description: partial small subunit ribosomal RNA
Rfam family: Eukaryotic small subunit ribosomal RNA
Source: RNAcentral